RNAcentral lists this ribosomal RNA (497 nucleotides) under uncultured bacterium. RNAcentral's name for it is "partial 16S ribosomal RNA". It matches the Rfam family "Bacterial small subunit ribosomal RNA", at positions 28 to 507 of the family's 1533-position model. The record is from RNAcentral.
GAUGAACGCUGGCGGCGUGCCUAAUACAUGCAAGUCGAGCGAACAGACGAGGAGCUUGCUCCUCUGACGUUAGCGGCGGACGGGUGAGUAACACGUGGAUAACCUACCUAUAAGACUAGGAUAACUUCGGGAAACCGGAGCUAAUACCGGAUAAUAUAUUGAACCGCAUGGUUCAAUAGUGAAAGACGGCUUUGCUGUCACUUAUAGAUGGAUCCGCGCCGCAUUAGCUAGUUGGUAAGGUAACGGCUUACCAAGGCGACGAUGCGUAGCCGACCUGAGAGGGUGAUCGGCCACACUGGAACUGAGACACGGUCCAGACUCCUACGGGAGGCAGCAGUAGGGAAUCUUCCGCAAUGGGCGAAAGCCUGACGGAGCAACGCCGCGUGAGUGAUGAAGGUCUUCGGAUCGUAAAACUCUGUUAUUAGGGAAGAACAAAUGUGUAAGUAACUAUGCACGUCUUGACGGUACCUAAUCAGAAAGCCACGGCUAACUACGUG